This is a non-coding RNA of Ictalurus punctatus (channel catfish), 393 nucleotides long. Lineage: Eukaryota; Metazoa; Chordata; Actinopteri; Siluriformes; Ictaluridae. The record is from the annotation of a RefSeq genome assembly.
CUGGGUUCAAGUUGCACUCAAACCAUGUUCGCUACAUUUCUACUGCUGCUGUUAACAGCUGUAUCUGGAAUUAAAUGUAUUGCACUGGUUCAGCCUCCAGUCAUGGUGGUUAAACCUGGAGAAUCAUUUUCAGUCCCCUGUAAGAUCACUGGGUAUUCAGCCACAAGUACCUGUACUAACUGGAUACGACAUAAAUCAGGACAAGCACUGGAAUGGAUUGGCUGGUACUGCAGCUCCAGUAAUACUGGCAGUAUAGAUUCACUAAAGAACAAGAUCCGUUUCUCAGCCGAGGCCUCCAGCAAUACUGUGAUUUUACAUGGGCAAAACUUUCAGUCUGAGGACACAGCUGUGUAUUACUGCGCUCGUGAACCACAGUGAGACAGAUCAACAACA